UACAGAGGUCUCAAGCGUUGUUCGGAUUCAUUGGGCGUAAAGGGUGCGUAGGCGGCGCGGUAAGUCGGGUGUGAAAUCUCGGGGCUUAACUCCGAAACUGCAUUCGAUACUGCCGUGCUUGAGGACUGGAGAGGAGACUGGAAUUUACGGUGUAGCGGUGAAAUGCGUAGAUAUCGUAAGGAAGACCAGUGGCGAAGGCGGGUCUCUGGACAGUUCCUGACGCUGAGGCGCGAAGGCUAGGGGAGCAAACGGG
This 253-nucleotide ribosomal RNA is filed under the name uncultured bacterium. RNAcentral's name for it is "partial 16S ribosomal RNA". It matches the Rfam family "Bacterial small subunit ribosomal RNA", at positions 524 to 776 of the family's 1533-position model. The record is from RNAcentral.